RNAcentral lists this ribosomal RNA (406 nucleotides) under uncultured bacterium. RNAcentral's name for it is "partial 16S ribosomal RNA". It matches the Rfam family "Bacterial small subunit ribosomal RNA", at positions 30 to 526 of the family's 1533-position model. The record is from RNAcentral.
AUUGAACGCUGGCGGCAGGCCUAACACAUGCAAGUCUAACGAGUGGCGGACGGGUGUGUAAUGUCUGGGAAACUGCCCGAUGGAGGGGGAUCACUACUGGAAACGGUCGCUAAUACCGCAUACCAUCGGAUGUGCCCAGAUGGGAUUAGCUAUUAGGUGGGGUAACGGCUAACCUAGGCGACGAUCCCUAGCUGGUCUGAGAGGAUGACCAGCCACACUGGAACUGAGACACGGUCCAGACUCCUACGGGAGGCAGCAGUGGGGAAUAGUGCACAAUGGGCGCAAGCCUGAUGCAGCCAUGCCGCGUGUAUGAAGAAGGCCUUCGGGUUGUAAGGUACUUUCAGCGAGGAGGCGUUACUCGCAGAAGAAGCACCGGCUAACUCCGUGCCAGCAGCCGCGGUAAUAC